RNAcentral lists this ribosomal RNA (431 nucleotides) under uncultured bacterium. Its description in RNAcentral is "bacterial SSU rRNA". It matches the Rfam family "Bacterial small subunit ribosomal RNA", at positions 29 to 506 of the family's 1533-position model. The record is from RNAcentral.
ACGAACGCUGGCGGCAGGCUUAACACAUGCAAGUCGAACGAUGUAGCAAUACAUAGUGGCGCACGGGUGAGUAACGCGUGGGAACGUACCCUUCAGUUCGGAAUAACAGCGGGAAACUGCUGCUAAUACCGGAUAUUCUCGAGAGAGGAAAGAUUUAUCGCUGAAGGAUCGGCCCGCGUGAGAUUAGGUAGUUGGUGGGGUAAUGGCCUACCAAGCCUACGAUCUCUAGCUGGUCUGAGAGGAUGAUCAGCCACACUGGAACUGAGACACGGUCCAGACUCCUACGGGAGGCAGCAGUGGGGAAUAUUGGACAAUGGGCGAAAGCCUGAUCCAGCCAUGCCGCGUGAAUGAUGAAGGCCUUAGGGUUGUAAAGUUCUUUUGUCAGGGAAGAUAAUGACGGUACCUGAAGAAUAAGCACCGGCUAACUUCGU